RNAcentral lists this transfer RNA (72 nucleotides) under Camelus bactrianus (Bactrian camel). It matches the Rfam family "tRNA". From Rfam's summary of the family: Transfer RNA (tRNA) molecules are approximately 80 nucleotides in length. The record is from Rfam by way of RNAcentral. Lineage: Eukaryota; Metazoa; Chordata; Mammalia; Artiodactyla; Camelidae. RNAcentral also lists the same sequence under 2 other names.
GAGGCUAUGGCUCAGUGGUAGAGUGUGUGCUUAGCAUACAUGAGGUCCUGGGUUCAAUACCUAGUACCUCCA